Molecule: ribosomal RNA, 402 nt
Filed under: Fusobacteriota bacterium
Lineage: Bacteria; Fusobacteriati; Fusobacteriota
Description: Fusobacteria bacterium partial 16S ribosomal RNA
Rfam family: Bacterial small subunit ribosomal RNA
Source: RNAcentral
UGGGGAAUUUUGCACAAUGGGGGAAACCCUGAUGCAGCGACGCCGCGUGAUUUAGAAGGCCUUCGGGUUGUAAAAAUCUUUUCUAUGGGAAGAAAAUGACAGUACCAUAGGAAUAAGGACCGGCUAAUUACGUGCCAGCAGCCGCGGUAAUACGUAAGGUCCGAGCGUUGUCCGGAAUCAUUGGGCGUAAAGGGUACGUAGGCGGGUAAGCAAGUUAGAAGUGAAAUCCUAUAGCUCAACUAUAGUAAGCUUUUAGAACUGCUCAUCUUGAGGUAUGGAAGGGAAAGUGGAAUUCCUAGUGUAGCGGUGAAAUGCGCAGAUAUUAGGAGGAAUACCGGUGGCGAAGGCGACUUUCUGGCCAUAACCUGACGCUGAGGUACGAAAGCGUGGGUAGCAAACAGG